ACAUAAUCAUACUCACCCCAGACUAAUAAGUCAAAGAGGGAGGAAUAAUCACACUCACCCCAUUAAUGGAGGAGGAACAUAGUAUCAGUGUCAUGCCAAUUGUGAGUCAAAACAAUUCCAAACAUUUUAUUCAAAUGAUCCGUAAGAAUCCAAUAAAUUUCCAAAGUUAUAAUUUCAUUCACAAAAUGGCAACACAAUUCGUAAUUCACUUCAAUUUCCACAAAAACCAUUUACAGUGCUUUUCAAUCAAUAAGUAUCCA
RNAcentral lists this unclassified non-coding RNA (260 nucleotides) under Hevea brasiliensis (rubber tree). Lineage: Eukaryota; Viridiplantae; Streptophyta; Magnoliopsida; Malpighiales; Euphorbiaceae. The record is from RNAcentral.